CCUACGUGUCGCAGCAGUGGGGAAUAUUGGACAAUGGGCGAAAGCCUGAUCCAGCCAUGCCGCGUGUGUGAAGAAGGCCUUCGGGUUGUAAAGCACUUUCAGUGGGGAAGAAAGCCUUGGGGCUAAUACCCUCGAGGAAGGACAUCACCCACAGAAGAAGCACCGGCUAACUCCGUGCCAGCAGCCGCGGUAAUACGGAGGGUGCGAGCGUUAAUCGGAAUUACUGGGCGUAAAGCGCGCGUAGGCGGUCUGAUAAGCCGGUUGUGAAAGCCCCGGGCUCAACCUGGGAACGGCAUCCGGAACUGUCAGGCUAGAGUGCAGGAGAGGAAGGUAGAAUUCCCGGUGUAGCGGUGAAAUGCGUAGAGAUCGGGAGGAAUAGCAGUGGCGAAGGCGGCCUUCUGGACUGACACUGACGCUGAGGUGCGAAAGCGUGGGUAGCAAACAGGAUUAGAUACCCUGUAGUC
This 464-nucleotide ribosomal RNA is filed under the name Vreelandella stevensii. Its description in RNAcentral is "partial 16S ribosomal RNA". It matches the Rfam family "Bacterial small subunit ribosomal RNA", at positions 338 to 795 of the family's 1533-position model. The record is from RNAcentral. Lineage: Bacteria; Pseudomonadati; Pseudomonadota; Gammaproteobacteria; Oceanospirillales; Halomonadaceae.